Molecule: long non-coding RNA, 1696 nt
Filed under: Homo sapiens (human)
Lineage: Eukaryota; Metazoa; Chordata; Mammalia; Primates; Hominidae
Description: HSALNT0360855
Source: RNAcentral
AUUCUUUACAGCUGCAAAUUUCCCCCUACAAAGAACAGCUUUGCCGGGGCCAUUUCAAAAUAUGGCAAAGAAACUUGUUUUGGGGCAAAAUAUUUUUAUUUUCUUCCUCAUAUCGUAAUGUUCUGCCAGGGCCAGGUUGGAAAGUAAGUCAUGAUAUACGUGGUUAAAUAAAACCCAUCUGAUGAGAAUUUAUGGUUUGUAGGGCAUGACUCCCCAAGCCCCUUAGGUAGGAAUUUGGGCAAGAUAAAAAAUCAGAGUUUAGUCCUCAAUCAUGAUGAGCUGCUGAGUUUCACACAAGGCCUGUUGUCAUUUAAACUAUAGCCUAAAUGUCUCUCAAAGUCAGCUUGGCCCCAAAAACCAGGAAUAAUUAAAGGAAAGGCAAGAUUGUGGGUGGGCUAGCUCAGCUCACAGUUAUAAUAAUUCUUCUCACUGAUACUGUUACAGCAGGUAGCUCCUCCGGCUUGAGCAGGACAGGAGAGCGCUUCCCACCCACAACCAGGAAUGUCAGGCGACCCCUCAGGUGAUGGUCAGGUGGUUGUUGCACUGUUUCUCUAAAAUAAUAAUUGGUAGCAACCAGCGCCAAGGAAAGGCAGUCUCCCAGUAGAUAGAAAAAAACCUGAAACGUGGUCAGGUUUAUCCACAAUCUUGCUCAUGUGGUCCUGUGGCCCCCACCGAGGAGCUGGGUUAGGGUUGGGAAGACAGCUUCGACUCCCCAAGACUUCAUCUCCAACCGGACCGGUCAGCGCUCCUGACUCACUGGCCGCCUACCCACCAUAUCAUCCUUCGAAACUCGGAUCCCCACGUUUUUGGGGAGAAGGAUUUGAGUAAUAAUAAAACUCCCGUCUCCCCCGCAGCCGGCUCUGCGUGAAUUACACUUUCCUUAUUGCGAUUCCCCUGCCCCGAUGCGACCAAGGGGCCCGCCCAGGAGCGCAGAGAAACCAUUAAGGGGUCACAGGACCGGGCUCCCAGGGUGACUCCCUGGCCACCAAGUCCUCCAGCAGGUCACUCCUGGAUUCCGGCUGGACCCCCUGCCCAGGGAGGGGCCCAGGAGACGCGGAAAUCGGGUCCCCCGCGGGUGAAGGGGAGGUGGGAGCCCCAGAGGAGGGCGGGAAGGCUCGGCCGGGGACGUGCCCGAGGGGGAGGAGAGGGGCUCCCGUCCGGGUCCGGCGCUGCGGGUCUCAGGGUCCGCGUCCCGCCCACCCCGCGGGGGUCUGGGCUGCGGGCGGAGCCUCCUCCGGGACCUGCACCUGCGCCGGCCGCCGCCAGGGGCGCCGCUGAGCACCCGCCUCCGCCGCUUCCCCCUCCCCGCCGGGCGGGGCCGCGCGCCUCCCACCCGGGACCCACUUCGGAGUUCGCCCCCUUCGGGACUCGCCUCCGGGAGACCCCCGAGGGGGAGAGGGCGCUUCCUCCGCGUCCAUCGCCCUUGCCGCCCCUGGGCCGACAGCCUGGAUUGCCGACAGGCCGCGAGCGUGGCCUUGGGCCCAGGGUGUCCCGGACUCAGCACUGACGUUCCCGGAAAGAGCCCACGUUGAGUAGGAGCUGAGACCUGCAGGACACAGGAACUCCUCCCAGGGUCCUGGAUCCAGCUGCUGCUCACGGCAGGAGGCCCGAAACCAGAAGGCCUGAGCACUUGCCCGGUCCCCAAGAGAUGCACAGAGGCCGGAAGGGGCAGUGCAGGGGCUGACCAACCUGCUCA